This 713-nucleotide ribosomal RNA is filed under the name Clostridium sp. RTT2. RNAcentral's name for it is "bacterial SSU rRNA". It matches the Rfam family "Bacterial small subunit ribosomal RNA", at positions 22 to 753 of the family's 1533-position model. Lineage: Bacteria; Bacillati; Bacillota; Clostridia; Eubacteriales; Clostridiaceae. The record is from RNAcentral.
CGUCAGGACGAACGCUGGCGGCGUGCCUAACACAUGCAAGUCGAGCGAUGAAACCCCUUCGGGGGUGGAUUAGCGGCGGACGGGUGAGUAACACGUGGGUAACCUGCCUCAAAGUGGGGGAUAGCCUUCCGAAAGGAAGAUUAAUACCGCAUAAAGCCAAGUUUCACAUGGAAUUUGGAUGAAAGGAGUAAUUCGCUUUGAGAUGGACCCGCGGCGCAUUAGUUAGUUGGUGGGGUAAUGGCCUACCAAGACAGCGAUGCGUAGCCGACCUGAGAGGGUGAUCGGCCACAUUGGAACUGAGAUACGGUCCAGACUCCUACGGGAGGCAGCAGUGGGGAAUAUUGCACAAUGGGCGAAAGCCUGAUGCAGCAACGCCGCGUGAGUGAUGAAGGUCUUCGGAUUGUAAAGCUCUGUCUUUUGGGACGAUAAUGACGGUACCAAAGGAGGAAGCCACGGCUAACUACGUGCCAGCAGCCGCGGUAAUACGUAGGUGGCGAGCGUUGUCCGGAUUUACUGGGCGUAAAGGGUGCGUAGGCGGAUGUUUAAGUGAGAUGUGAAAUACCCGGGCUUAACUUGGGUGCUGCAUUUCAAACUGGAUAUCUAGAGUGCAGGAGAGGAGAAUGGAAUUCCUAGUGUAGCGGUGAAAUGCGUAGAGAUUAGGAAGAACACCAGUGGCGAAGGCGAUUCUCUGGACUGUAACUGACGCUGAGUCA